Molecule: ribosomal RNA, 497 nt
Filed under: uncultured bacterium
Lineage: Bacteria
Description: partial 16S ribosomal RNA
Rfam family: Bacterial small subunit ribosomal RNA
Source: RNAcentral
GAUGAACGCUGGCGGCGUGCCUAAUACAUGCAAGUCGAGCGAACAGACGAGAAGCUUGCUCCUUUGACGUUAGCGGCGGACGGGUGAGUGACACGUAGAUAACCUGCCUAUAAGACUGGGAUAGCGUCGGAAAACCGGAGCUCAUUACGUAUUAUAGUUUGAACCGCAUGGUUCCAUAGUGAAAGAUGGCUUUGCUCUCUCUUAUAACUGGACCUGCGCCGUAUUAGCUAGUUGGUAAGGUAACGGCUUACCAAGGCAACGAUACGUAGCCGACCUGAGAGGGUGAUCGGCCACACUGGAACUGAGACACGGUCCAGACUCCUACGGGAGGCAGCAGUAGGGAAUCUUCCGAAAUGGGCGAAAGCCUGACGGAGCACCGCCGCGUGAGUGAUGAAGGUCUUCGGAUCGUAAACCUCUGUUAUUAGGGAAGAACAAACGUGUAAGUAACUGUGCACGUCUUGACGGUACCUAAUCAGAAAGCCACGGCUAACUACGUG